UGUAAGUAAGGGGUGAAAUUGAGUUUAGAACUGUCAAUUUUAGAAAUUACGAUCAAAGUAGUUGCCACAAAGACUGAGACAAACGCUUUGAACUGACAGCAAAUUUAAGUUAUGGUAGUCAUUUUAGAUAAGCCAAAUGACGUCAAAAUAGUCGUCAGGAAAAGUUAACUCUUUCCUGGAUAGGAAGGUUUAGUGAGGCGAGACUGCCCUCUAU
This is a non-coding RNA of Pelobates cultripes (western spadefoot toad), 214 nucleotides long. NCBI's taxonomy places the organism in Eukaryota, Metazoa, Chordata, Amphibia, Anura, Pelobatidae. The record is from the annotation of a GenBank genome assembly.